AUUGAACGCUGGCGGCAGGCCUAACACAUGCAAGUCGAACGGAAACAGAAAGAAGCUUCCUUCUUGCCUGACGAGUCGCGCAGGUGUGUGUAAUGUCUGAAAAUCCCCCUUAUGGAGGGGGAUCACUACUGGAAACGGUAGCUAACCCCACAUUCCCUCCCACGACCAAAAGGGGGCCUCUUCGCCCCUCUUGCCUUCGGGUGUUCCCAGGUGGGAUUAGCUUGUUGGUGGGGUAAAGGCUCACCUAGGCGACGAUCCCUAGCUGGUCUGAGAGGAUGAUCAGCCACACUGGAACUGAGACACGGCCCAGACUCCUACGGGAGGCAGCAGUGGGGAAUCUUGGACAAUGGGGGCAAACCUGAUCCAGCCAUGCCGCGUGUAUGAAGAAGGCCUUCGGGUUGUAAAGUACUUUCAGCGGGGAGGAAGGGUGUAACGUUAAAACCUGAACUCAUUGACGUUACCCGCAGAAGAAGCACCGGCUAACUUCGUG
RNAcentral lists this ribosomal RNA (490 nucleotides) under uncultured bacterium. RNAcentral's name for it is "partial 16S ribosomal RNA". It matches the Rfam family "Bacterial small subunit ribosomal RNA", at positions 30 to 507 of the family's 1533-position model. The record is from RNAcentral.